UCGACGGACUCAUAUUGAAACCUAGUGAUUUAUGAGUUAGUGGCGGACGGGUGAGUAACGCGUGGAAAACCUGCCGUAUACCGGGGGAUAACACUUAGAAAUAGGUGCUAAUACCGCAUAAGCGCACAGCUUCGCAUGAAGCAGUGUGAAAAACUCCGGUGGUAUACGAUGGUUCCGCGUCUGAUUAGCUAGUUGGCGGGGUAACGGCCCACCAAGGCAGCGAUCAGUAGCCGGCCUGAGAGGGUGAACGGCCACAUUGGGACUGAGACACGGCCCAAACUCCUACGGGAGGCAGCAGUGGGGAAUAUUGCACAAUGGGGGAAACCCUGAUGCAGCGACGCCGCGUGAGUGAAGAAGUAUUUCGGUACGUAAAGCUCUAUCAGCAGGGAAGAAAAUGACGGUACCUGACUAAGAAGCCCCGGCUAACUACGUGCCAGCAGCCGCGGUAAUACGUAGGGGGCAAGCGUUAUCCGGAUUUACUGGGUGUAAAGGGAGCGUAGACGGCAGCGCAAGUCUGGAGUGAAAUGCCGGGGCCCAACCCCGGAACUGCUUUGGAAACUGUGCAGCUUGAGUGCGGGAGAGGUAAGUGGAAUUCCUAGUGUAGCGGUGAAAUGCGUAGAUAUUAGGAGGAACACCAGUGGCGAAGGCGGCUUACUGGACCGUAACUGACGUUGAGGCUCGAAAGCGUGGGAAGCAAACAGGAUUAGAUACCCUGGUAGUCCACGCCGUANACGAUGAUUACUAGGUGUCGGGNGACCAAGGUCCUCCGGUGCCGGCGCAAACGCAUUAAGUAAUCCACCUGGGGAGUACGUUCGCAAGAAUGAAACUCAA
RNAcentral lists this ribosomal RNA (831 nucleotides) under uncultured bacterium. RNAcentral's name for it is "bacterial SSU rRNA". It matches the Rfam family "Bacterial small subunit ribosomal RNA", at positions 62 to 904 of the family's 1533-position model. The record is from RNAcentral.